This 431-nucleotide RNase P RNA is filed under the name Bradyrhizobium sp. RNAcentral describes it as "RNase P RNA component class A". It matches the Rfam family "Bacterial RNase P class A". From Rfam's summary of the family: Ribonuclease P (RNase P) is a ubiquitous endoribonuclease, found in archaea, bacteria and eukarya as well as chloroplasts and mitochondria. Its best characterised activity is the generation of mature 5'-ends of tRNAs by cleaving the 5'-leader elements of precursor-tRNAs. Cellular RNase Ps are ribonucleoproteins. Lineage: Bacteria; Pseudomonadati; Pseudomonadota; Alphaproteobacteria; Hyphomicrobiales; Nitrobacteraceae. The record is from RNAcentral.
UCAGUCGGCUGGACGGCCGCUCCCGCAAGCGCCGAAAGGCCGCGGGGGAGGAAAGUCCGGGCUCCAUCGACAAGCGGUGCCGGAUAACGUCCGGCGGGGGCGACCCCAGGGAAAGUGCCACAGAGAACGAACCGCCCGCCUCCGCCCUUCGGGCUCCGGCGCGGCAAGGGUGAAAAGGUGCGGCAAGAGCGCACCGCGGCUCCGGCAACGGAACCGGCAUGGUAAACCCCACCGGGAGCAAGACCGAAUAGGGACGGCACACGCGGACGGUUCGCGAAAGCGAUAACGCCGCGGGGGUUUUGUCAGGCUCGCCGUCCGGGUAGGUUGCCCGAGGCCAUGUGCGAACAUGGUCCCAGAGGAAUGGCCGUCACGUAUCGCCGGCGCGAGCCGGCGGUGCCCUACAGAACCCGGCUUACAGGCCGGCUGAUAUG